UACAGAGGUCCCAAGCGUUGUUCGGAUUUACUGGGCGUAAAGGGUGCGUAGGUGGCGAGGUAAGUUCGAUGUGAAAUCUCCGAGCUCAACUCGGAAAUGGCAUUGAAUACUAUCCCGCUUGAGGGUCGGAGGGGAGACUGGAAUUCUCGGUGUAGCAGUGAAAUGCGCAGAUAUCAGGAGGAACACCGGUGGCGAAGGCGGGUCUCUGGGCCGAUACUGACGCUGAGGAGCGAAAGCGUGGGGAGCGAACAGG
RNAcentral lists this ribosomal RNA (253 nucleotides) under uncultured bacterium. RNAcentral describes it as "partial 16S ribosomal RNA". It matches the Rfam family "Bacterial small subunit ribosomal RNA", at positions 524 to 776 of the family's 1533-position model. The record is from RNAcentral.